Sapajus apella (tufted capuchin) is the source of this 836-nucleotide RNA transcript. It is a transcript of the gene named GTP-binding nuclear protein Ran-like, with no coding region annotated. NCBI's taxonomy places the organism in Eukaryota, Metazoa, Chordata, Mammalia, Primates, Cebidae. The record is from RefSeq and is a predicted model, not a curated record. The transcript has a single exon.
GCAGGACAUUUUACCAUGGCUCUCAUGGUUGGUAUAUCAGUAACUAUAGAAAUAAGAUUGGUUGGUGACGGUGGUACCAGAAAAACGACCUUUGUGAAACGUCAUUUGACUGGUGAAUUUGAGAAGUAUUUAGCCACCUUGGGUGUUGAAGUUCAUCCCCUAGUGUUCCACACUAACAGAGGACCUAUUAAGUUCAAUGUGUGGGACAUGGCCAGCCAGGAGAAAUUCGGCGGACUCAGAGAUGGCUAUUAUAUCCAAGCCCAGUGUACCAUCAUAAUGUUUGAUGUAACAUCCAGAGUUACUUACAAGAAUGUGCCUAACUGGCAUAGGGAUCUGGUUCGAGUGUGUGAGAACAUCCCCAUCAUGUUAUGUGGCAACAAAGUGGGCAUUAAGGACAGGAAAGUGAAGGCAAAAUCCAUUGUCUUCCACUGAAAGAAGUAUCUUCGGUACUAUGACAUUUCUGCCAAAAGUAACUACAACUUUGAAAAGCCCUUCCUCUGGCUUGCUGGGAAGCUCAUUAGAGACCCUAAUUUGGAAUUUGUUGCCAUGCCUGCUCUUGCCCCACCGGAGGUUGUCAUGGACCCAGCUUUGGCAGCGCAGUAUGAGCACGACUUAGAGGUUGCUCAAACAACUGCUCUCCCGGAUGAGGAUGAUGACCUGUGAGAAUGAAGCAGGAGCCCAGCGUCAGAAGUCUAGUUUUAUAGGCAGCUGUCCUGUGAUGUCAGCGGUGCAGCGUGUGUGCCACCUCCUUAUUAUCUAGCUAAGCAGAACAUGUGCUUCAUCUGUGGGAUGCUGAAGGAGAUGAGUGGGCUUCGGAGUGAAUGUGGCAGUUUAAA